ACUCAAAUGAAUUGACGGGGGCCCGCACAAGCGGUGGAGCAUGUGGUUUAAUUCGAUGCAACGCGAAGAACCUUACCUGGGUUUGACAUGUACUGGAAGACUACCAGAGAUGGUGUCGCCUUCGGGCCGGUACACAGGUGCUGCAUGGCUGUCGUCAGCUCGUGUCGUGAGAUGUUGGGUUAAGUCCCGCAACGAGCGCAACCCUUGCCUUUAGUUGCCAGCAUUCAGUUGGGCACUCUAAAGGGACUGCCGACGUUAAGUCGGAGGAAGGUGGGGAUGACGUCAAGUCCUCAUGGCCUUUAUAUCCAGGGCCACACACGUGCUACAAUGGCCGGUACAGAGAGAAGCCAACUUGCAAAAGGGAGCUAACCUCAUAAAACCGGUCUAAGUUCGAAUUGGAGUCUGCAACUCGACUCCAUGAAGCUGGAAUCGCUAGUAAUCGUGGAUCAGAACGCCACGGUGAAUACGUUCCCGGGCCUUGUACACACCGCCCGU
RNAcentral lists this ribosomal RNA (495 nucleotides) under uncultured bacterium. RNAcentral describes it as "partial 16S ribosomal RNA". It matches the Rfam family "Bacterial small subunit ribosomal RNA", at positions 899 to 1397 of the family's 1533-position model. The record is from RNAcentral.